Molecule: ribosomal RNA, 274 nt
Filed under: uncultured bacterium
Lineage: Bacteria
Description: partial 16S ribosomal RNA
Rfam family: Bacterial small subunit ribosomal RNA
Source: RNAcentral
AUACGGAGGGUCCGAGCGUUAUCCGGGAUCAUUGGGUUUAAAGGGUCCGUAGGCGGGAAUCUAAGUCAGUGGUGAAAUCUUGCAGCUCAACUGUAAAAUUGCCAUUGAUACUGGAUUUCUUGAAUUAGUGUGAAGUGGUUAGAAUGUGUAGUGUAGCGGUGAAAUGCAUAGAUAUUACACAGAAUACCAAUUGCGAAGGCAGAUCACUAACACUAUAUUGACGCUGAGGGACGAAAGCGUGGGGAGCGAACAGGAUUAGAAACCCCAGUAGUCC